This 248-nucleotide ribosomal RNA is filed under the name uncultured Fusobacterium sp. RNAcentral describes it as "partial 16S ribosomal RNA". It matches the Rfam family "Bacterial small subunit ribosomal RNA", at positions 109 to 356 of the family's 1533-position model. The record is from RNAcentral. Lineage: Bacteria; Fusobacteriati; Fusobacteriota; Fusobacteriia; Fusobacteriales; Fusobacteriaceae.
AGUAGCGCGUAAAGAACUUGCCUCAUAGUCUGGGACAACAUUUGGAAACGGAUGCUAAUACCGGAUAUUAUGCUUUCUUCGCAUGGAGGAAGUAUGAAAGCUAUAUGCGCUAUGAGAGAGCUUUGCGUCCCAUUAGCUAGUUGGUGAGGUAACGGCCAACCAAGGCGAUGAUGGGUAGCCGGCCUGAGAGGGUGAACGGCCACAAGGGGACUGAGACACGGCCCUUACUCCUACGGGAGGCAGCAGCG